This 21-nucleotide non-coding RNA is filed under the name Arabidopsis thaliana (thale cress). The record is from RNAcentral. Lineage: Eukaryota; Viridiplantae; Streptophyta; Magnoliopsida; Brassicales; Brassicaceae.
UCUUUUAACAGAUGUGCCGCC